CCCGUAGGCGGUUUGUCGCGUCUGCCGUGAAAGUCCGGGGCUCAACUCCGGAUCUGCGGUGGGUACGGGCAGACUAGAGUGAUGUAGGGGAGACUGGAAUUCCUGGUGUAGCGGUGAAAUGCGCAGAUAUCAGGAGGAACACCGAUGGCGAAGGCAGGUCUCUGGGCAUUAACUGACGCUGAGGAGCGAAAGCAUGGGGAGCGAACA
RNAcentral lists this ribosomal RNA (207 nucleotides) under uncultured bacterium. Its description in RNAcentral is "partial 16S ribosomal RNA". It matches the Rfam family "Bacterial small subunit ribosomal RNA", at positions 568 to 774 of the family's 1533-position model. The record is from RNAcentral.